GGAUGGCUGGCAGCUUCCCCUGCAGCUGUGAGGAUCUAAUUUUAGCAGGCUUUUAGAUGACUGAGUUCUACAGUUCAGCAUGCAAACAUUGAGGAUGGCUGCUGCUAUUGUUUAUAUUCUAGAGCCGUAAUGAAGUGGACCGGGAGGAGGAAACACAUUAUGAUCCGACACCAGUAAGCUUAAGAAUCCACCCAUCUUCUGAAAGCUGGGGAGCUUCACUUUAGGAAAACUACCAAAGAUCUGGAAAAUACAUCCCUGAUUUCUUCUGACAUCUGAAAAAUACCUCAUGCAGCAUUGACGUUUGAGGAGUUAUUUUCAGGCCACAGGUUUGUAGCAACAGCAGUGAAAAAAAGCAAAAUCCCAAAAACACCAUCUUAACUCCAGGUGUCGCAAUUUCAUAAAUUACACCUAUUUUAAGGACAACACCUGCUUUCUCUGUUUUGUCAAAAAUGCAAGAAACAAAAAUCACUGACCUCCCUCUAGCUGGGAUUUUGUACGCUGUGCCAUCUGCAGUCGUGAUCAGAAAAGACCACAAUCAAAGACAGGUAUUUAAAAGAAACAACUACCUGUACUGUCGUGCAAUCCCUGUGGUUCUUUUGUAACUUAAAUAUUACAAUUUGUCUGCAAAGGUGUUUGAAAACCAAGGUUCUGACUCAUAAAUCAACAUAUAAAAUUGACAUGUUUUUGGAGUUGACUGGAAAAAAACCCCAUGUAAACAGAAACAUAAACCAGCGUUAAAGACAGCAAUGCAAAUCAAUAAGUUUCUUACAGUACUGAGCAGAUCUAAAAGUGAGUUUUCAUGCGUGGGUGUGCCUUAAUAAAUUACUUUUUUUUUUUUAUGAACAAGCAUUUUUUUUUCAACAUUUUCCUCCAAAAAAGAAAAGUGAAAUAAGCAGCAAAAUCAGAGUCCUUAUAAAAGGUAAAAUGUAUUGGGAGAGAAUGAGAGAAAAUAAAUCAAUCUGUUACCGUGGUGACAACUGUCUCAUACACAAAUGGAUGUGAAAUAUUAUCCAUUGUUAAGCUUUUUCAGAAGAGAAGUGACACACGACAUUUUUGAGACACUUUUUUUGCUUUACAGCUCAUAAAAAAAAAAAAAAGUCAGGUCAAAACUACAUAAAGGAAGUAAAGUUGAUUACUGUCCACUAUGGUUACAAAAAAUGUUUUGUAACUGUUUUUGUAACUUUUUUUUCAAGGAAAUUUGUGAAUCAUGUCACAUUCUUAACUAUGGAAACCAAUAACAUAUCUAACUUGAAGCGAUAUAAUGACCAGAAUUUGACUACACAAUGCAUCGUUUUCAGAGCACAUGCAGCACUAUUGUUUUGCCAUUUUGAAAGGGCUUUAACACAGCAAUCCGGCACCAGAGCUGCUGAUUUUAAGCGCUCCAACAAAGAAACGCAAGGACAGAGACGUCAAGGCUAUUCUAAGGGAGAAAACCUGUCCGCUUGCAAGAGUGGUGUCACGGGGCCUUACUUAUCUCCUCCCAGAUUAAGUCCCAAUUGUUGGUCAGGAACAAAGGCGGUCAGUGAGGAAACCAGCCCCCCAAAGGCCAGAUGGUCAGCGUCCACAGCCCCCCUCACCACCUGACCCCUCCAGCCCUCACUCUCUGUGACAGGGCUGCACGUGCUUUCAUCAAGACAGGCCACCCAGCUAAUUCACAACGCUCACCAAAUAACAAUAAUACCUGCGUGAUUCAGGGCAAAUAAAGAAUUCUUGCAUUUUUAUUGAUAAACGCUGAGGUGUAGAAUGCCAAAAAAUAAAUAUAAAUUUUAUAUCAUAUUGAAUAUUAGUGAUUUAAAUUACUUAUUUACCUAAAUAUCUUACCUAGAUAUUUUGAUUAGAACUUUGUUCAGUAAUUAGCUUUUAUUAUUUCUUGAGUGGUCUCCAGGGGUUGGUUGUAUCCAUUAAUCAACUAAUUCAAAGUUAAGAACUUUCAUAAGUUGUCAUAGACAAAAUAUGUAAGUUGGAUUAAGAAUUUAAGUUUGUAUUGCGCCGUAGCCCAUUUAGUGAAUCUGCUGAAGCUAAAGUCACACAAGCUAGCAAGCUAAGCUUCUAAUCCCUCAGGCAGUUGUUGCUAGUGAAUAGCACAUGUCUGCUGAGGUUAUCAUAGAAAAGGGUUCAAAGGUCACCUUAUUGGAUUUUAAAAAGUUUAAUUGCUAUUUUACUGUUUUAUGCCUUAUUUUAUUUUAUUUUUGUAUUUCCUAUUUACCUGGGAGAACAAACCGCUAUGAAACAUGGUAAAGCCAGUGUUAAAAAUUAACCAUUAAAGUCAUUUCAAUUUUAGUUAAGGAGUUUAGCUCAUAAAUGUAAUGUUUUAUAAUUAUUAUAUAUAUCUAGAUAUUAGAUAUUUUAUAUCUAACAAAAUUAACUACUUUGUUUUGCUAGCAUGUCCUGGAGUUGAAACUUAAGAUAUAGUUUCAGUAAACUAUUAGCUAUUCUCAUCUAUUAUGCAGAGUCCAGCUAUGCUCACCAGUAAGGCUAAUAUGUUCAUAUCAUUUGUACUAUAGAUUAAUAUGUUAAUUUAGUAAAAUUUUUAAAUGAUCAUAACACAUUUUAGGCAUACAUACAGUACAUUAUUAGAGGAAUAUGUUACAGUUUUUCUCAAUAGCUUUGGCAUGUAUGUCAGAUCAGAACUGAAAUUCUCAAAACUGCUUGUUCAACCAUAAAAUCAUUGUCAUUUGUUUCUCAUUUCUUUGAGCAUGUGUCCUACGUUUUCAAAUGUAUUAUAUGAAUAGCCUCAGUCUCCACAACAUUUCAGCAUAAACGUGUCAUAAAAUCUCAAAAUUAAAAAAAGAAAAUGUUUGAACAAGUUGUAAUAAGUCAAGUGUAUUACUAUGCAUUUCAAUCAUUUUUUGUCCUGCAUUGAUAAAUUGCCCCCAGGUGAAUCCUGACUUUCUCCGACGUAGGCAAAUGUAUGAAGCAUUGGAUCAACCAACGAUUAAUCUAUAUUCUGAAAUAGCUCAAAGGUUCAUGAACCAUCAAUGGGAAAGUAUAUAGUGUAUAGAGGCAGAGUACAACACAAAGCUGAACUUCUGACAAUGGAAGAACAAAGAUUUGGAUGGGGUCAAAUCCAGAGAGAAGAAGAAGAGGAGUGAGAAUCUGGGGAGAAGGAGUCAGGAGGCAAAACAGAGGAAGAGGCAGAAGAAGUGGAGGACAUAUGCCAGUUUCCAUUGCUCCAAUAUCGUCAGGCAAUAGUUUGCCACCCACAACAAGAUGCUGGUAGCGUUCCCCCUACUCUUCAUUCCUUAGCCCCUUUUAGAACAUUUUCUUAGUACGGAGAUGGAAAGUGCAUGAUUGCCAGCCACAUACACAGAUGACCUUUCUGGCUGCCAUGUGUGAUGACUUUGCAACAGAUGCCUGCUGAGGCUAGAUAAGACACUCUAAUGAAUUGUUUCCACAAGAUCGCAAGAGAAGAUAUUUGUUGUAAUGCAGAAGAGAAAUUGUGGCGCAACAGCCAGGAAGGUCAGGCGUUGUAGGAAGACUGCACUGUAAUUCCAACAGCACUGCAAAAGUUUUUGUUACAGCUGCAGUAUGUAACUUUCAUAAAAAACACUUUUUUUUACAGAUUUGUUAAAAGUGUCACUAUGUCCUGAAAGUAUAACAUGAGAGAGAAAAAAACAUAGCUUGUCUGCCUUCUCCCUGUGGUUCUACUCCCAUCUGCAUAAAUGUACCGCUCCCUUUCAGAAACAACCAAUCAGAGCCAUGAGUAUGGUUUUAGCGUUGUCAAUCAUGCUCGUGUGGUGUUUCUCAAUGUGUUAAUGGCGGAGAAACAACUUACUAUUACAGGAAAACUGCUUGUCCACUGUGGCCAUGCUAACUAGCCUGCGCAUUCAUGACAUGCUCUGCUGUGGGGAAGACACAGCAACCUAGUAGAGAGAAAGGGUUUGAGCAAUGCCUACACUAGGGUGAUUGACAAUGCUAAAACUCCCCUCCUGGCUCUGAUUGGUUGUUCCUGACCAAGUGAAAUAAGUGUAAUGUAUAUACGGAAUUUACGAAAUUCACUGAUGUGUCUUGCAGCUGUGAUCGUUCUAUUUGAGGAAUAUUUAAUGUCUUUUGUAAAUGUAUGCAAAUGAUUGCACCAGUUUCAUUGCUUUAAUUCUAACAGCUUGUUUUACAACAGCUUGUGAAAAUACGUAAACUUAUCAGUCUCCAUAAGAAAUGGCUCCACGUGGAGUAACAAAGAGAAGCAGUUUUCAUAAACAUAAAUUAAGAUAACCAAUGUAUGAUAACAUGCUGGAAAUAAAAGCUAAUAAAUCAAAUUUAUGGAGAGAACAAAUAGAUUUAUAGAUUAGAAUUUUCCCAAGAGUGACAAAGCUCUAAAGACAUCUUCUCUGCACUGUCAUCUGAUAGGAUUUUAUCUGUGUCUGUUUCAACACAAGCCUUAGGCAACUGCUGUUUUCUGCAGACAAGCACUUAAAUUAGUGCUUUGGCUCCAGACCUCGUAUACUUGACAUGACUUCAUCAGCAAUGAGACAACACAGGCAGAAUCAAUACAAUUUCCUCCAGCAUGAAAAUUGUCGUUGCACAUGAAAACUAACAUUGGCAACUUAAAACGCUUUAGGCUGCCAGGGGUCGGUUGCAUACACAGACUUGCAGUCUGACCUAAGUACGGCAAUAAGGCGAGGCUUCCUAAACAAAUGAAGAAAAACUGGUUUUUCAAAGCGAAAUUGGUGCAUCAGAAACAGCAAGAGAAAAGUUGUCCUAUACUUUUAAACGGAUUGUGCACGACAACCUUGUUGUUUUUAUUAACCUUUUGCAGUCCCUCUUCUCUGUGCGAUCAUUUAACAUUUUCCGACAAAAUCUGCGGAUGAAAGAAACUUUGGCUGACAGACUGCUUGCGCGCGACCACCGUCCUGACAGCCUCACGGUCGGGCAAACGUUAAAUGUACGUGACAUUUGUCACACUUUUAGAGCAAAACAGCCAAGUGAA
Poecilia latipinna (sailfin molly) is the source of this 4927-nucleotide long non-coding RNA. RefSeq lists it as uncharacterized. Lineage: Eukaryota; Metazoa; Chordata; Actinopteri; Cyprinodontiformes; Poeciliidae. The record is from RefSeq and is a predicted model, not a curated record. The transcript is spliced from 3 exons.